GCUGAAGAGAGCCUGAUGAAGCGUGCGUCUUUGCUCCGCUUUGAUAAACCGCAUCAAUUAUUCACCGUGAAGGCAGACAUCCUGACAUGAAAGCUACCGAUAAAGAGGGUAAGCACAUGUCGAAGAGGAGGGCUGGGGAGCGCGGGGCGGGGCUGGGCUGCGGGGGCUGGCACAGGUAGCUUUGAUUGCAUUAUUGUCUGGAAACAAAGAGGCCAAUCACCACGCCCGGGCUCACGUUGUGCCCGCCCCCCAUCUUCUAACCACUUAUUCUGGUGGGGAGCCUAGCAGGAUUCAAACCCUCAAUACUAAAGGUGUGAGAGGGUCUUCAGGAGCCUGGGAAGAGACACAAAGUCACCUAACUACAAGUUUGCAGAUUGUGGGAGGAAUCAAGUCCCACCCCUGGAGGAGUCAGGCUACUGGGCUCUCCAAAUCCCUGUUUUGGAUGACUGGAUACAGAAGAUGCACGG
Brienomyrus brachyistius is the source of this 467-nucleotide long non-coding RNA. RefSeq lists it as uncharacterized. The record is from RefSeq and is a predicted model, not a curated record. The transcript is spliced from 3 exons. NCBI's taxonomy places the organism in Eukaryota, Metazoa, Chordata, Actinopteri, Osteoglossiformes, Mormyridae.